Molecule: unclassified non-coding RNA, 240 nt
Filed under: uncultured fungus
Lineage: Eukaryota; Fungi
Description: sequence contains ITS1, 5.8S rRNA gene
Rfam family: 5.8S ribosomal RNA (bases 192-240)
Source: RNAcentral
UUUCCGUAGGUGAACCUGCGGAAGGAUCAUUACCAAUCCCUGUGCAGCCUGGGCUCAUACCUAGGCUGGAUAGGCUUGAUACUGCCCCUGUAUUUUGCGCACUCAUGUUUCCUUGGUGGGCUUGCCUGCCAAAAGGACUAUACCAUAACCUCUUUAAUCUUGUAUCAACGUCUGAAUAAUAUAAUUAUUACAACUUUCAACAACGGAUCUCUUGGUUCUGGCAUCGAUGAAGAACGCAGC